GGUCCCGUAGCUCAGUUGGUUAGAGCAUUGGUCUUAUGGUAGAAGUAAGAGCAAGCCGAAGGUCGCGGGUUCGAGCCCCGCCGGGACCA
Molecule: non-coding RNA, 89 nt
Organism: Picea glauca (white spruce)
Lineage: Eukaryota; Viridiplantae; Streptophyta; Pinopsida; Pinales; Pinaceae
Source: Rfam